CGAGGUGUAGCGCAGUCUGGUCAGCGCAUCUGUUUUGGGUAGAGAGGGCCAUAGGUUCGAAUCCUGUCACCUUGA
This 75-nucleotide transfer RNA is filed under the name Zea mays. It matches the Rfam family "tRNA". Rfam says of the family: Transfer RNA (tRNA) molecules are approximately 80 nucleotides in length. Their secondary structure includes four short double-helical elements and three loops (D, anti-codon, and T loops). Further hydrogen bonds mediate the characteristic L-shaped molecular structure. tRNAs have two regions of fundamental functional importance: the anti-codon, which is responsible for specific mRNA codon recognition, and the 3' end, to which the tRNAs corresponding amino acid is attached (by aminoacyl-tRNA synthetases). tRNAs cope with the degeneracy of the genetic code in two manners: having more than one tRNA (with a specific anti-codon) for a particular amino acid; and 'wobble' base-pairing, i.e. permitting non-standard base-pairing at the 3rd anti-codon position. The record is from Rfam by way of RNAcentral. Lineage: Eukaryota; Viridiplantae; Streptophyta; Magnoliopsida; Poales; Poaceae.